This is a long non-coding RNA of Syngnathus typhle (broad-nosed pipefish), 426 nucleotides long. RefSeq lists it as uncharacterized. Lineage: Eukaryota; Metazoa; Chordata; Actinopteri; Syngnathiformes; Syngnathidae. The transcript has 3 exons. The record is from RefSeq and is a predicted model, not a curated record.
CCAACACUAAUGGGCGGGUCUUCACGUGACUAUCAGCAGUGGUUUGAAUUUUUCAAACUCUUUAGUCGCCUUAUAAAUAAAUGCAUCUGAUGUCCAAACUGCAAAAGUGGAGACUCUUUGUCGGCUGCUGACCUACCUGCACAUCUCACCGCCAAGAUGUUCUUUAAGGGAUAUGGGGCAGUGAGAGGCAGUAAAGGUGAAGACGGGGUGAAAGUGACGGCAGAUGGGUGCUGACGGAGGCUCAGCACAGAUGGACAAUAGGCUACACACGGUUUCUCCAUCAAGGGCAUAAUGCACAGUGAUGGAGGCUCCAUAAUAGCUGCACAGUGAAGCGUGCACGCUGCAACAUGAUAGGCUGAAGGGACAGGAAGAAAGACAGACUGGUAGACAUGGAUAGUAUGUGUGUGUUUGACUAAACAGAAAGAG